Molecule: ribosomal RNA, 282 nt
Filed under: uncultured bacterium
Lineage: Bacteria
Description: partial 16S ribosomal RNA
Rfam family: Bacterial small subunit ribosomal RNA
Source: RNAcentral
AUUGAACGCUGGCGGCAUGCCUUACACAUGCAAGUCGAACGGCAGCACGGGAGCAAUCCUGGUGGCGAGUGGCGAACGGGUGAGUAAUAUAUCGGAACGUGCCCGGUCGUGGGGGAUAACGUAGCGAAAGCUACGCUAAUACCGCAUACGAUCUACGGAUGAAAGCGGGGGAUCGCAAGACCUCGCGCGAUUGGAGCGGCCGAUAUCAGAUUAGGUAGUUGGUGAGGUAAAGGCUCACCAAGCCGACGAUCUGUAGCUGGUCUGAGACGGACGACCAGCCAC